CACGACCGGAAACUCGACCGGGGGCGACAGCAAUAUGUAGGUCAAGCUAAAGACUUUACCAGAAUCGCUGAGAGGAGGUGCAUGGCCGUCGUCAGUUCGUACUGUGAAGCAUCCUGUUAAGUCAGGCAACGAGCGAGACCCGUGCCCACUGUUGCCAGCAUGUCCUUCGGGAUGAUGGGUACUCUGUGGGACCGCCGAUGCUAAAUCGGAGGAAGGUGCGGGCUACGGUAGGUCAGUAUGCCCCGAAUCUCCCGGGCUACACGCGGGCUACAAUGACUGGGACAAUGGGCUCCUACCCGAAAGGGGAUGGUAAUCUCAUAAACCCAGCCUUAGUUCGGAUCGAGGGCUGUAACCCGCCCUCGUGAAGCUGGAAUCCGUAGUAAUCGCGUUUCAACAUAGCGCGGUGAAUACGUCCCUGCUCCUU
RNAcentral lists this ribosomal RNA (424 nucleotides) under uncultured Methanomethylovorans sp. Its description in RNAcentral is "bacterial SSU rRNA". It matches the Rfam family "Archaeal small subunit ribosomal RNA", at positions 913 to 1338 of the family's 1478-position model. Lineage: Archaea; Methanobacteriati; Methanobacteriota; Methanomicrobia; Methanosarcinales; Methanosarcinaceae. The record is from RNAcentral.